This 379-nucleotide ribosomal RNA is filed under the name uncultured cyanobacterium. Its description in RNAcentral is "bacterial SSU rRNA". It matches the Rfam family "Bacterial small subunit ribosomal RNA", at positions 376 to 770 of the family's 1533-position model. Lineage: Bacteria; Bacillati; Cyanobacteriota. The record is from RNAcentral.
CGAAAGCCUGACGGAGCAAGACCGCGUGAGGGAGGAAGGCUCUUGGGUUGUAAACCUCUUUUCUCAGGGAAGAAGCUCUGACGGUACCUGAGGAAUCAGCCUCGGCUAACUCCGUGCCAGCAGCCGCGGUAAUACGGAGGAGGCAAGCGUUAUCCGGAAUUAUUGGGCGUAAAGCGUCCGCAGGUGGCGAUUCAAGUCUGCUGUCAAAGCACGGGGCUUAACUCCGUUAAGGCAGUGGAAACUGCGAGACUAGAGUGCGGUAGGGGUAGAGGGAAUUCCCGGUGUAGCGGUGAAAUGCGUAGAGAUCGGGAAGAACAUCGGUGGCGAAAGCGCUCUACUGGGUCGCACCUGACCCUCAGGGACGAAAGCUAAGGUAGCG